Molecule: ribosomal RNA, 446 nt
Filed under: uncultured bacterium
Lineage: Bacteria
Description: partial 16S ribosomal RNA
Rfam family: Bacterial small subunit ribosomal RNA
Source: RNAcentral
CCUACGGGUGGCAGCAGUCGAGAAUCAUUCACAAUGGGGGAAACCCUGAUGGAGCGACGCCGCGUGGGGGAAUGAAGGUCUUCGGAUUGUAAACCCCUGUCAUGUGGGAGCAAAUUAAAAAGAUAGUACCACAAGAGGAAGAGACGGCUAACUCUGUGACAGCCGCCGCGGUAAUACAGAGGGCUCAAGCGUUGUUCGGAAUCACUGGGCGUAAAGCGUGCGUAGGCUGGUUCGUAAGGCGUGUGUGAAAGGCGCGGGCUCAACCCGCGGACGGCACAUGAUACUGCGAGACUAGAGUAAUGGAGAGGGAAGCGGAAUUCUCGGUGUAGCGGUGAAAUGCGUAGAUAUCGGGAGGAACACUAGUGGCGAAGGCGGGUUCCUGGACAGUAACUGACGCUGAGGCACGAAGGCCAGGGGAGCGAAAAGGAUUAGAUACCCGGGUAGUC